GACCAGGUCCCGCGCAAUGCAAACGCACCAAACCCCGUCAGGACCGGAAGGUAGCAGCGGUAGGUGGCGUCUUCAUGUGCCGCGGGGUAGCCUGGUCUAC
RNAcentral lists this signal recognition particle RNA (100 nucleotides) under Candidatus Zixiibacteriota bacterium. RNAcentral describes it as "candidate division Zixibacteria bacterium signal recognition particle sRNA small type". It matches the Rfam family "Bacterial small signal recognition particle RNA". Rfam says of the family: The signal recognition particle (SRP) is a universally conserved ribonucleoprotein involved in the co-translational targeting of proteins to membranes. Archaeal SRP consists of a 7S RNA and homologues of the eukaryotic SRP19 and SRP54 proteins. The record is from RNAcentral. Lineage: Bacteria; Pseudomonadati; Candidatus Zixiibacteriota.